This 29-nucleotide non-coding RNA is filed under the name Mus musculus (house mouse). The record is from RNAcentral. Lineage: Eukaryota; Metazoa; Chordata; Mammalia; Rodentia; Muridae.
UAACACUGAGGUUCUUCCAUAUCUCCUAC